UGGUUUAAUUCGAUGCAACGCGAAGAACCUUACCUGGUCUUGACAUCCACAGAACUUUCCAGAGAUGGAUUGGUGCCUUCGGGAACUGUGAGACAGGUGCUGCAUGGCUGUCGUCAGCUCGUGUUGUGAAAUGUUGGGUUAAGUCCCGCAACGAGCGCAACCCUUAUCCUUUGUUGCCAGCGGUCCGGCCGGGAACUCAAAGGAGACUGCCAGUGAUAAACUGGAGGAAGGUGGGAUGACGUCAAGUCAUCAUGGCCCUUACGACCAGGGCUACACACGUGCUACAAUGGCGCAUACAAAGAGAAGCGACCUCGCGAGAGCAAGCGGACCUCAUAAAGUGCGUCGUAGUCCGGAUUGGAGUCUGCAACUCGACUCCAUGAAGUCGGAAUCGCUAGUAAUCGUGGAUCAGAAUGCCCACGGUCGAAUACGUUCCGGCCUU
Molecule: ribosomal RNA, 439 nt
Filed under: uncultured Enterobacteriaceae bacterium
Lineage: Bacteria; Pseudomonadati; Pseudomonadota; Gammaproteobacteria; Enterobacterales; Enterobacteriaceae
Description: bacterial SSU rRNA
Rfam family: Bacterial small subunit ribosomal RNA
Source: RNAcentral